GUCAUCUAGACCACGGUGGCCACUGCUGUGGUUGGAGCUGUAUUGUUAAAUACAGGAAAAAAACCACCAAGCCCCACCUGGCUGUCACAGCAAAUCAAGAUAAUAAUGUAAUAAAUGUCCAUUUCCACCUGAUCUGGUGUUUCAGAUAAACCUCGUGCCAUUUGUUCUAAAUGCAGGAGUUUGGUACCUCAGUGAAGCUUUGGUCUCUUUUUUAUUCUCUUCCAUCUGAAAAUCACAUUGGAGACUCGCAGCACACAUGAGGAAACUCAGGUAAAUUAAAUC
This 282-nucleotide long non-coding RNA is filed under the name Cyanistes caeruleus (blue tit). RNAcentral describes it as "lncRNA (ENSCCEG00000004382.1)". Lineage: Eukaryota; Metazoa; Chordata; Aves; Passeriformes; Paridae. The record is from RNAcentral.